This is a long non-coding RNA of Myotis myotis, 365 nucleotides long. RefSeq lists it as uncharacterized. Lineage: Eukaryota; Metazoa; Chordata; Mammalia; Chiroptera; Vespertilionidae. The record is from RefSeq and is a predicted model, not a curated record. The transcript has 3 exons.
CCUCCAGUUGGCCAGAAGCACUUAGUCAUCUCUUACAAAGAUGAGUUAAUAUCUAUCACGCUCUCAUCCGGAAUGACUCACAGUGACAGCGUCUCAUUUCCAAGGGUGUACCCAGACCUCUUGGGGAACUAAGUUGCCUGCAGAAGAGCAGCUUCCUGGGCUGGCUGGACAUUCCAGGAGCUGAGGUGUCACCAGAGGAGAUUCUGCAGCAACUAACACUGGACUUAUCUGACUGCAUUUACCUAUUUUCUGCCCCUCACUGGACUAUGAGCUCCCUAAGUAAGGGCCUAGAUCUGCCCUUCUUCAUCCUCAACUGCUCAGUCCAACCCAGUGCCUGGCACAAAAAAUACACCAUUCAGAAUGUC